This 474-nucleotide ribosomal RNA is filed under the name uncultured bacterium. RNAcentral's name for it is "bacterial SSU rRNA". It matches the Rfam family "Bacterial small subunit ribosomal RNA", at positions 8 to 526 of the family's 1533-position model. The record is from RNAcentral.
AGAGUUUGAUCCUGGCUCAGAGCGAACGCUGGCGGCAGGCUUAAUACAUGCGAGUCGAGCGCCUGUAGCAAUACAGGAGCGGCAGACGGGAGAGUAACACGUGGGAACGUGCCCUUUGGUUCGGAACAACACAGGGAAACUUGUGCUAAUACCGGAUAAGCCCUUACGGGGAAAGAUUUAUCGCCAAAGGAUCGGCCCGCGUCUGAUUAGCUUGUUGGUGAGGUAAUGGCUCACCAAGGCGACGAUCAGUAGCUGGUCUGAGAGGAUGAUCAGCCUCAUUGGGACUGAGACACGGCCCAAACUCCUACGGGAGGCAGCAGUAGGGAAUAUUGGACAAUGGGCGCAAGCCUGAUCCAGCCAUGCCGCGUGAGUGAUGAAGGCCUUAGGGUUGUAAAGCUCUUUCGGCGGGGAAGAUAAUGACGGUACCCGCAUAAGAAGCCCCGGCUAACUUCGUGCCAGCAGCCGCGGUAAUUC